Microcebus murinus (gray mouse lemur) is the source of this 572-nucleotide long non-coding RNA. RefSeq lists it as uncharacterized. The record is from RefSeq and is a predicted model, not a curated record. Lineage: Eukaryota; Metazoa; Chordata; Mammalia; Primates; Cheirogaleidae.
UGCCUUUGUUGCUGUGUGUUGACAAGGAGAGAAUGCUGUCGGCAAAAUCUGAUGCAGCUGGCUGUUUGUUUUCUUGGAGCACCCAAAGAAUGGUGAGCAGUGGGAUACAGGCAUUGGGUCCAGGAAAUCUCCUUAAAAAGAUGUCUGUAUAAGCGGUUACUUCAUACGCAUAUACCUCUACUUUCAGUCUCAAUUGCCCUAAAUUGCAUAGAAGAGGAAGACAAAGGUCAUAGUCUAUAAAAAUAAAGGAAGAACAUUCCCAUGAUUCUGCAUCUUGAUUCUGGGUCCUGGAAAGAAAUUUAUAAGGAGCUGACAUGAUCCUGACCCUUAACUUGAAGCAGAAUUGGGCUCAGCUGACUUGCAUUCCUGUGAGCAAGAAAUUGAUGUACAUACUAAUAAGUAAGGAAUAAAUGUUGUUAUAAAGCCACUGAGGUUUGAGAGUUGAUUUUUAUGCAUUGUUAUUGCAACAAUCAUUGAUGAAUACAGGCGUGCUGUAUUUGAAGCUCUCACGUGUCUUUAAUGGCCAGCUUCUCAGUGCUCACAGAGUUCCUCGGUUUCACCAGAUCUUCCCC